Molecule: non-coding RNA, 88 nt
Organism: Branchiostoma floridae (Florida lancelet)
Lineage: Eukaryota; Metazoa; Chordata; Leptocardii; Amphioxiformes; Branchiostomatidae
Source: Rfam
GUUUACUUGUGUGUGGAUGGUGUUCAGCACCAGGGACAGGUGUGUUUACCUGUGUGUGGACGGUGUUCAGGGACAGGUGUGCUUACUU